AUUGAACGCUGGCGGCAUGCCUUACACAUGCAAGUCGAACGGUAACGGGCCUUCGGGUGCCGUCGAGCGGUGAACGGGUGCGUAAUACAUCGGAACGUGCCCGAUCGUGGGGGAUAACGAGGCGAAAGCUUUGCUAAUACCGCAUACGAUCUACGGUAGAAAGCAGGGGACCGCAAGGCCUUGCGCGGACGGAGCGGCCGAUGGUAGAUUAGGUAGUUGGUGGGAUAAAAGCUUACCAAGCCGACGAUCUGUAGCUGGUCUGAGAGGAUGAUCAGCCACACUGGGACUGAGACACGGCCCAGACUCCUACGGGAGGCAGCAGUAGGGAAUUUUGGGCAAUGGGCGCAAGCCUGAUCCAGCAAUGCCGCGUGCGGGAUGAAGGCCUUCGGGUUGUAAACUGCUGUUGUACGGAACGAAAAGCCUUCUUUUAAUACAGGAGGGUCAUGACGGUACCGAAAGAAUAAGCACCGGCUAACUACGUG
This 482-nucleotide ribosomal RNA is filed under the name uncultured bacterium. RNAcentral describes it as "partial 16S ribosomal RNA". It matches the Rfam family "Bacterial small subunit ribosomal RNA", at positions 30 to 507 of the family's 1533-position model. The record is from RNAcentral.